CCCAACUUUAUUCAUCGAUUGGAAAAAAUUUUCGAACAAAUUUGAUAGGCUCACUAUCUGGAGGUUCUGCUGGAAGACAGUAGGUUCUACGAGAACAAGGAAACUAGCCCCCCCAUUGGUUUCAAGAUUCGGUUUUGUCGAACCCCAAACCACGGAAUAGCAUGUGAAAUCGUAAACUUAACCAAUUUGUUUGAUUUUUUUUUCCUUGGUGAUGUUUUGAAGGGAUUUUGCCUAUAGUGUGCAUCAUGGAUUGUAUUGUGUUUUGCAAGAUGGAUUGUGAGGUCUGGGUUAACCAGUGGAUGAUUUAGUCCUACUUGUGGAGCGACUAUGACAUCGAGGUUAUAAAUGAUGACACUAGGAUGACUAUUGCAGUAGACCUAGUGAUGGGAAAGCAUAACACCAUAUCCGAAGUCGUUGCAAGGGCAGUGAAGCACUGAGACAGUAUCAUGAUCAGGUCCCAGAAAGAAAAAAAAUCCAUCUCGAAAUAGCAACCCCACAAUAUGAUGUUGAAUGACUUUUUCUUUUUUGGAGAUCAUGUUGGGAAUGAUUGAUUUU
Molecule: long non-coding RNA, 555 nt
Organism: Arachis duranensis
Lineage: Eukaryota; Viridiplantae; Streptophyta; Magnoliopsida; Fabales; Fabaceae
Exons: 2
Source: RefSeq, a predicted model, not a curated record